This 460-nucleotide ribosomal RNA is filed under the name uncultured bacterium. RNAcentral's name for it is "partial 16S ribosomal RNA". It matches the Rfam family "Bacterial small subunit ribosomal RNA", at positions 338 to 795 of the family's 1533-position model. The record is from RNAcentral.
CCUACGGGAGGCAGCAGUGAGGAAUAUUGGUCAAUGGACGAGAGUCUGAACCAGCCAAGUAGCGUGAAGGAUGACUGCCCUAUGGGUUGUAAACUUCUUUUAUAUGGGAAUAAAAUGUUCCACGUGUGGGAUUUUGUAUGUACCAUAUGAAUAAGGAUCGGCUAACUCCGUGCCAGCAGCCGCGGUAAUACGGAGGAUCCGAGCGUUGUACGGAUUUAUUGGGUUUAAAGGGAGCGUAGGUGGAUUGUUAAGUCAGUUGUGAAAGUUUGCGGCUCAACCGUAAAAUUGCAGUUGAAACUGGCAGGCUUGAGUACAGUAGAGGUGGGCGGAAUUCGUGGUGUAGCGGUGAAAUGCUUAGAUAUCACGAAGAACUCCGAUUGCGAAGGCAGCUCACUGGACUGCAACUGACACUGAGGCUCGAAAGUGUGGGUAUCAAACAGGAUUAGAUACCCUAGUAGUC